Long non-coding RNA from Oncorhynchus tshawytscha (Chinook salmon), 332 nucleotides. The record is from Ensembl. Lineage: Eukaryota; Metazoa; Chordata; Actinopteri; Salmoniformes; Salmonidae.
GCUGAAUUGAUACUGGACCCAAGCACUGGCGCUCUGGAGAAUGAGACUCUUGUGAAGAACGUUUUCAUCAGCUUGCUGGAAUCUCCAAGGGAAGAGCAGCUCAAUGAGUUCUUUGUGACUUUUGUUGAAGUCACCAAGCAGGAAAACAUCACUAUCAUCACAAACACAGCCGUAAGAGACACAAUGCUAGACCUGACCUUGAUGGCUCUUGCUCCCAAAUUCGACGUUUUUGAGCCAAAAGACUUCCAGCUGUGGUUCCAAGUCAAUCUGGUUGUUCUGCUGGCCAGCUUCCAUCCUGGCAGAUUGGUUGAUAUCCCCCUAAACAUCACCUG